Linepithema humile (Argentine ant) is the source of this 6494-nucleotide non-coding RNA. The record is from RefSeq and is a predicted model, not a curated record. Lineage: Eukaryota; Metazoa; Arthropoda; Insecta; Hymenoptera; Formicidae.
AAAUAAAAGGUAAUUUAUACAUAUAAUACUUCUGUCACAUGAAUUAGCCGCCGUUUAGUUAAACUGGUUGCGAGGCGAAAAGGCUCGAACGUGGCCGACUAAUCAUAUGAUAUGGUCGGCGAGACCGGUUUAGUACCCGCGCUUUUCUCACCUGUUGCUGACAGCAUGCGCGCGUGCGAUUAUUUCGGUUGGCUCGAAAAAAACGCGGCAGUGACAAUUUGACGCAGUCUGUUGCACGUUGUUCGCAUAAAUGUUCCAGAUGAGAGCGUAUUUCGUUGUCGAAAGUGCACAGUGCUUAUUUAUUCUAUGCAUAGCUUAUUCAGCGUGUAACAUAACCUAGAAUUUCAUGAGUGUGAUGUUUUCCGGUAUAGAGAAUUGAUAAAAGUUAUACAACAAAGUUGACUGUAGGACAUAACAAUGAGUGUGUGUCAUUGUUAACUUGAUUUUUUGAAAAGUUUUCAGCACAUUUCUCAGGAUUUCGCUGACGAAUAUUUUAAAACGUGCUUAUUAUAUUAUCAGUGACUUUUGACAAGUUAAAGCAACUAUAUUUUAUAAAAUAAAUGAAUAAUAUUUGUUACACAUUAACAUCUACACAACAAUUCUGACGAAAAUUAUAUAAAGAAACCAAGAUAUGACAGAUUAUCUUUCUGCUGAGCUCACAGCCACUUGCGCUGGGCUUGGAUAUUUUGAUGGAAAUGACUACCAUUUAGACAAGCAUUGCUUAGAUGUUAUAAAAGAUCUUAUCAGAUAUCUUAAAAGAGAUGAUGAUACUCACACUAUAAGACGUUUUCUUGGUCAAACAAAAUUACUUCAAACAGAUCUUGUGAGGAUUUUUAUACAUCAUGCUAAUAAUACUGAACUAUGGGAUAUCUUAUUACGAUUGAUUAUUAAUUUAACAAGCCCCGCGUUUUUAAUUUACAAUGAGCAAAUACCAACUGAGAAAACAACAUAUAGUUUGUAUCAACAAAUUAUUUUGUACUUACAAGAGUAUAAGGCAGCUUUAACCGAUGAAAGUGUAUGGUUGGCAGUAGUUGGGCGUUUGGGGACAUUACUAAGUAUUGAUAAUGCAGAAAGGGGGGAGGAAGAUGAGUUAAUAAUUGAAAGAAUAUUGGUUUUCAUUAGAAAUGUAUUGCAAGUACCACCUAAUGAUAAUGAUAAAAGAGCUGAUAAUGAUGCCACUGUUCAUGAUGAGAUAUUAUUUGCAUUUCAUGCAUCAGGUAUUGUGGAUAUAUUGUUGUUCAUUGGCAGUAACAAUAAAGAACAACAAUAUCACAUGCAGAUUUUAGAGGUAAUAUCUUUAAUGUUACGUGAACAAAAUGCAAGCCAGUUGGCUGCAUCUGGAUUGCAGCGUAGUACUGCUGAAAAAGAAAAUGACGAGGCUAAACUUGUAGACUUGCGACAAAAGGAAUUACGUGAAAAGAUGGAAAAAAUGAAAAAAUAUGCUGGUUCGCGGCAUUCACGAUUUGGCGGUACUUAUGUUGUGCAAAAUAUGAAAGCCAUUGGAGAAAAUCAAAUGAUAUGCCAUAAACCAUAUCAAAAAAUUGAAGCGCUAGAAUUCGGUCACAAUAAGAAAAGAGUAAAGCGACGCAAAGACAAAAUCGGUCUACAAGAUACGAAAGGGGAGCGUACAUCCGCUCUUAGCGUGCGGCUCUUUCUAAAGGAAUUUUGCGUAGAAUUUCUUAGCGGUGCUUACAAUCCUGUGAUGAAAUUCGCUAGAUCUUGCAUUAUUAAUGCUGUUCAUGGCGAAGCGUUCGAAACGACUUCCUAUUUGUGGGCACUACGUUUUUUCAUGGAAUUCAAUCGCCAUUACAAGUUCCAAGUGAAAUAUGUUAGCGAAACUAUAUCCACCGAAGUAUUUCAUUUAGUACAAAGACAAAUGGAAGAAUAUUACGAGAUGAUGAUAACUGAUAAGAAAAAGAUACCGCUUUGGGCUCGUAGGUUGCAUUUAGCGUUAAAAGCGUAUCAGGAACUUCUUAACACUCUUAUAGCAAUGGAUAAAAGCACAGAUGACGGUGUUAGGAAAUCUAAUAAAAUAAUCAAAAGCAAUAUUUUUUACGUUCCGGAAUAUCGGGAAACAAUAUUCUCUCAGCUUUUAUGCUUCGAUGAAACUAAAAUGUCACGGUUAUACUUAGUAGAUCUAGUGACGACUGCUCACAUAUUUCUGAAAAUGCUUGAGCAUUUUUGCCAAAAAGGCCAACGACAUCUCAUAGUUCAAAAAGUGAAGCCAAAGAGGCAAAAAGCUAAGAAACGAAAGAAGUCUGCUCAAAAGAAUGUAAUUCCGGCUCUUCCUACGUUGGAAGAACGUUGGGACGCUACCGGUCCUGAAUUAUCUGCUGUAAUGCGAGAUGCUGUUAUACCGGAAAUGAUACCGUUCGAUGCAACUUUAGACACGUCGAUUGACGAUCAGAAAACGGACGCCAUGAAGAGAAUCCAGAAAUUCAUGCGGCGGAAGAACUUGGAACAGGCGGUGGGUCUCUUACGUGCAGCAAGAGAAAUCUGGCCUGAGAACGAUUGCUUCGGAAGAGCGGAUAUAUCGCCGGAGGAGGAAUUUUUAGCUCUUCGCGAAAUCUUCUUUGCAGACCUGGGCGUGGUAGAAGAGCAAUCUGUUAAUCUAGAAACGAUAAAUGUGGACGAAGACAUUGAAAAUUCUACAAAUCGUGAAACAGACGACGAAGAAGACGAUGAAAAUGAGGAAGAAGAAGAAGAAAGAGAAAGUGUUCUCCAAGAGACUGACUUUAAAUUGGAUGAAUUUCUUCAAAGGUUUGCCAACGUGAAGAUCGUCAAAGCUUUAGCACUGUUACUACGAGAGUUCGAGAAUAAUACGAUCGAAAUAAAUCACUACGCAACAAAAAUGCUGCACCGGAUUGCUUGGGAUUGCAAAAUGCCGGGCAUGAUAUUCCAAGCAUCCAUAUUUCGGAUUUUUCAAAGAGCUCUCGAGUCAAAGGACCCUGCGCAUAAGGAGCUCCAAAAGUUCGCGGUCUUCAUAAUCCGCCGUUUCACCGAAGUCGCCCAGAAGAACCGGAAGUCGUACAUGGAGCUGCUCUUCUGGAAGACCACCCGCGACGCGACAGAAAUCGUAGAUGGAUACAACGCAGAACCGACUAACAAGAAAGUUUCGCGAGCAGUCUGGACGGAGGCGGAAGAGGACGAGCUGCGUACUCUCUUCAUGGAACAUCAGACUAACAAAUACCCGCAAGAUUUGAUCGAUUGGUUACUGGAGCACCUCAUUAAUGAAAAUAGAACGCGCCGUACCGUCAUUAAGAAACUCAAGGAAAUGUGUUUGAUUGUCAAUUCGAAGGGUGUGCGAGCGGAGAUACAAAAGAGGUUGCCUAAAGAAUGGUCUGAGGACGAAAUCGCCCAACUUACGGAACUUUGGACACAGCUCAAAGACGAUGACGAUCCCGUGGAUUUGAUUUUCACCGGUCUCAGAAUAAAGCGAUCGAAGCCGAAGAUCAAGGAGAAGCUUUUGGAAUUAGGAUUGGUGCAGGAUCGCAAGGAGCUGCGCAAAAAGCGAGCUAGAAAAAGUAACCAGGGUAAAUCGUCGUGGGAAACGCAGGCUGCCAGUAAUUCUGACGGGAACGAAAGUUCAGCCACCGACGACGAAGACGGCGAAGAAACUCGAAAAUCCUCGAAGCGCGGCGAUGCGCCUCCGAGCGAGUCGAUGAAAAAGAAGCAGCGGAACAAGCGGAAGCUAGCGACGAUCGUUUACACGGAUGCACAAUUAUCUGGUCUCUUGAAGGACGUCAUCGACAGGGAUAUGAGAGAGGCGCUGGAAUGGAUCAAGGAAUCUCUGCAAGACGUUCUGGACGAUCGUGACGAAGAGAGCUCGGAGGGCAUACCCUUGGUGCCACUGACAGAUUACUCGGCGACCGCGAUGGAUUCACCGAGUUUUCAAAAGCUCCUCCGCGCCCUGGGAUUUGUGCCACCGGCUGAUGCCCAGGAAUCUUAUUGGCGUAUUCCGGCGAAUAUGCUUACAAUCACGAUCCAGAAACGUUGCAAACUCAUUGAAGACGCUCUAGCCGGCAAAUUCAUCGUCGCUGAGACACAAUUAGAACGUAAAGACCAUUCGGAUUCUGACGAGAAGAUGAACGAUAGCGAGGACGAGGACGUGUUCGAGAGUGUUAAGAAAUUCUUUGCGCCCAAAGAACCGGAACCGUCUACUUCGAAACAAUCAGAACCUGCAAAGAUUUUGUUGUCACAGAAAUCUAAAAAGUUUUCAGAACUAAAUGAAGGAACCAAUGAAACUGAAGUUGUAGAAGAGAACGUAAGAAGCAAAGUAAGACAUCGAGCAAAGAUGCUCGAUGAUUCUUCCGAAUCCGAAAUGGAGAUUGAAGAGAACAUCGAUGAUAAGAACGACGAUGUAAAGAGAGAUAGAUCUGAUUCUUCCGAUACGAAUGAGCCGUCCAAUAAAAAACGUCGCCUACUCGAUAGCGACGAUGAGACAGAACUGAAAAAUGGAAAUACAAACGGCGCUCGUAUAAUAAUUAGCGAUGAUGAAGAAUCAUUGUCCAACGCACGGCCUGAGCGGCCAAAAUCAUCUCGUAUAAUAAUUAGCGACGAUGAAGAUUAAGAAAACAUUUUAAUUUUAUUUUCAUUUUUGCUAUAUGAUAAUUUUAAUUUAUUUUGAAUGCUUCAAAUAUUAUCAUUCAAUAGUUUUAUUUUAUUUUUUAUGCUUUUCAGCUCAAGUGGAAAGACAGGCAUCAGCUUUACCCGCGAGUGUUCGAACCGGGGCACACAAACAGUACGCAUUGUUAAGCUUCGUCAGGGUCCCGCGUGUUCUUCUCGAUCGCGACACACCUUUACAGGACAAUCCGGGGUACACUUCAGGGUGCCAAGAAAAACAGUUCCCGAAAGACGUCCACAUUUUGUCAAGUAACGACGAAGAGAACAUGCAGGCAUGUUGGUGCCGGCUGGCUGGUACCUCUGGUGCGAUGCUGCGCGGGCUUGGAUCAUAUAAACGGCCAUGCGCUUCCCGCCGAGAUCACAAUCCCAGCGCUCGCGUGGCACCUCCUCGGUUACGUGUUCUCCGGUUCGAUGGUUGGCCAAUGUGGAUGACUUUACGUCUUUUGAUGGGCAGGUGAGGAGUCUUGGCGAGUGUUAACGAUACGUACGUGUGCAUCGAGACGUAAUCGCGCGACGAAAGACCAGACCUCACCUUUUUCGAUACCACCUUCGACGGCUAACGACGAUGCCGCCGACCGCGAACCUGCGCGGAUGUCGCGUAAUGUCGGCGCAAGGACUUCGCGACUCGCGGAUAUACGAUCAGGGAAUCAUGCCAGGCGAGGAAUCGUGAAAAACCUAGCCACGAACCUAGCCAUGAAUACAUGUUGUCGUUGUGUAUGUAAUAACGAAGCUGUCUGAACCAAUUCACAUACAUAGCUGCACAAAGAAAAUUUACAGGAGGGCACUAAUCACUUAUUUAACAACAAAGGACUAAUUAUGCUUACUUUUUUCUAUUUUUUUAUAUUUCUAAUUCUUAUAUUAUCUAAAUGGUUUAGAUAAUAUAAAAUAAGUAAGAUGACGAAAUAAGUAAGAUGCUUAAAUGAUAAAUUAUUAUAAAUUGAAUAAUAAUUUAAGAACAAUGAAAUAUCCAGAUUGAUUUAUAUAUUCCAGAGAUACAUUUCUUUUUGCAAUUUUUUAUCGACUCAACAGACAUCGCUUAUUAUAAUGCAAACAAAUGUCAUUUCAUAUCGCAAUAUAAAAUGUAAUCUUAAUAUAAGCAGAGAGUUAAUUAACAAGUUAAAUUUUGCGUCUUACCUGGUCAGGCUACAUCUUACUUACGUUUGAAGAACGUACAUUUUUGACGGCGGGUCGACGACGAUGACUACCGGCAUCGAUCGUCGUACCGUCUUUGUCUCUAUAGAACAACCAGAUUCCAGAAGGGUGACCACGUGCAUUCUAAUCUCAACUUUCGGAUGCCAGGCACGCACGACGCCGCAGGAGGCAACGCGUCGCGGCGAGUCCACUCGCAAAAUGCAAGCAGGCUCAUCGGGCCGAAUAGCUUUUGCGUAGUAAGAUAGCAUGCAAACGAGUUAGUGGCGCGCGACCUUCGUGAUUCUCUGCUCUCCUGGUAGAAGCGCGGGCUUCUUAUACGGUUGUAGGUGGAUAGCAUCCUCUCUCUGUGUUCCCACUCUAUCUGCAGUCUCCCCCACCAUACGCCGCACUCUCCACGCUCCAUAUCUUUCACGGCAGUCUCCCCCACCCGUCACACAUUCCUUUCCUUCACGUUCACCUUUCGGUUAGAUUGAAUGCGAGAAAAUGGCAAAGCGAUUUUUUAAGAAUAAACAAGAAUGCUGGCGUAGAAAAAUAUAGUAUUGAUAAAGAUUUGAAUACUGAUAUAUCAGUAUAUACAAAUGAAAAUGCUUCACAGCUCCUUAUAAAUAAUUAAGGAGCAACAAAAUCAAUAUUCUCUUUGUGUAAUAUUUGAAAUAGCAAAAAGAAUUGUUAGACUUUCCGAGUAAUUAAUUAUCAGUUACUUGAUAUCGAUAUCUUUU